RNAcentral lists this long non-coding RNA (467 nucleotides) under Felis catus (domestic cat). Its description in RNAcentral is "lncRNA (ENSFCAG00000053097.1)". Lineage: Eukaryota; Metazoa; Chordata; Mammalia; Carnivora; Felidae. The record is from RNAcentral.
CUGAAUGUAAGGACCGUCCCUCACUGACAGAUCCUUCUGAAGCUAAGCACUUAAGUGACCACAUUUCUAGAGUGGAGUGUGGCUACUGCUGAUGGAACUGUGGCACCAAUGUCCGCUUGAUGGGGAAUUCUGAAUAAGCUUCUCAGGGUUAGGAAGAUGAAUACCUGCAGUUCAUGAAGGGAACAUCUUAUCAAGGAAAACUCCACAAGAGGUUCCUAGGCUGCUGGCCUAGUGCUGCUGAAUCCCAGGAGAUAAACCUUAGCUACAUCUUAGACCCACUGCAGAGCAUCUGCAAUUAGAGAAAGUUGAGUAGUGGGUUGAGGUGAGUGGAAUCCUGUGGAACACCAGUAUCUGGAUGAGCCAAGGAAGCGAUGAGGGAGACUCAAGAGAAAAUGUGAGAGCUGGAGAAACCAGAAGAGUUUGAGUAGAAAAUUUGCAGAAAUAACAGUCGGUGUCAAAUGCGCCAG